AGUGAGACGUGUAAUCGCUGCUAGUCUUGAACUAGGAGAGGAAAGUCGGAGCUCCAUAGGGUAGGGUGCUGGUUAACGGCCAGUCAAGGUGACUUGAAGGAUAGUGCAACAGAAAUAUACCGCCAGAAGCUGUAAAGCUGAGAUCACUUAGGUGUCUGGUAAGGAUGGAAAGGCGAAGGUAAGAGCUCACCAGCGUAAUGGAGACAUUAUGGCUAUGUAAACCCCACUUGGAGCAAGACCGAGAAAGAAACAAUAAGGAGUGACCCGCUCCGUUUCAUGGUGUGUCGCUUGAGCUUGUUGGCAACAAUAAGCCUAGAUAGAUGAUUACUUAAUACAGAACUCCGCUUAUGGCUUAUCUCGU
This 361-nucleotide RNase P RNA is filed under the name uncultured Clostridium sp. Its description in RNAcentral is "Bacterial RNase P class A". It matches the Rfam family "Bacterial RNase P class A". From Rfam's summary of the family: Ribonuclease P (RNase P) is a ubiquitous endoribonuclease, found in archaea, bacteria and eukarya as well as chloroplasts and mitochondria. Its best characterised activity is the generation of mature 5'-ends of tRNAs by cleaving the 5'-leader elements of precursor-tRNAs. Lineage: Bacteria; Bacillati; Bacillota; Clostridia; Eubacteriales; Clostridiaceae. The record is from RNAcentral.